CCUGCUGAAGCUCAGAGGGCUCUGAUUCAGAAAGAUCAUCGGAUCCGUCUGAGCUUGGCU
Molecule: non-coding RNA, 60 nt
Organism: Canis lupus familiaris (dog)
Lineage: Eukaryota; Metazoa; Chordata; Mammalia; Carnivora; Canidae
Source: Rfam